RNAcentral lists this ribosomal RNA (212 nucleotides) under uncultured bacterium. Its description in RNAcentral is "partial 16S ribosomal RNA". It matches the Rfam family "Bacterial small subunit ribosomal RNA", at positions 524 to 732 of the family's 1533-position model. The record is from RNAcentral.
UACGGAGGGUGCGAGCGUUGUCCGGAAUCAUUGGGCGUAAGGGCGCGUAGGUGGCCCGGUCAGUCCGUGGUGAAAGCGCGGGGCUCAACCCUGCGUCGGCCAUGGAUACUGCCGCGGCUGGAGCACUGUAGAGGCAGGCGGAAUUCCGGGUGUAGCGGUGGAAUGCGUAGAGGAUCCGGAAGAACACCGGUGGCGAAGGCGGCCUGAGCUGG